RNAcentral lists this long non-coding RNA (1343 nucleotides) under Homo sapiens (human). RNAcentral describes it as "long non-coding RNA NONHSAT161978". Lineage: Eukaryota; Metazoa; Chordata; Mammalia; Primates; Hominidae. The record is from RNAcentral.
CAGAACCAAAGUCCAAAAUGAUUAAGUUUCUGGCACAGAAUCAUGCCAGCAGUUACGUGGUGGGGCUCAGUUCAGAGCACAGAUCUUUCCAUUCUCUUAUUUCUGCACCACUGCACUGCAAGAAUCUUAUACACUCCUGUUUAUAAGAGCAGCCUAUUAAAAAAUAUUCUGGGACACAUCUAAAAAGCCAUAAUAUAAGAAAAAAAUAAAAGCUCUGUUUUGGAUUUAUCCUGGAAGCUGGGAGAAAACAUAUUUUUUGGACAUGUUUGGAAAUGUACGAUAGUUUUUGAUUCUUAUCCUUGUGCUCCAGGCUUUCUUUGGGACACUUAAGAGAUUAUCUUUGGGAUUUAGGAAAGCACCAUGUCAUUUUAUUUUUCAAAUCCUCAGAGUGCUAGAAGUUUUGGGUCUUAUUUCCUAGUCUGACCUUUCAUUGUAGCUAUUAUUUUUUGAUAUAUAAUAUUCAUAAUUCAUUUUGUUGAAGAGGAGAUUUUAUUUAAUGUCAAUAAAUAUGUAUGAGUGUUGGGAGGAACAUACCUGAGCUGUGAGGGCUGGCGAGAAUUAUAGAGGACAGUACAGUUAAAUAGAAUGUGGGGAUAAUGUCAUUGACUGUAAACCUCAUGAUUGAGAAAAAGAUGGGGAUCAUCUUCUGCUGAAAUUCAUCGUGGAAAGAUUCUCAAAAGCAUAUUAGAAACAGAUGACAACAUUAAAAGGACACAGUUUAUUUUAUUUGGAAAAUAGUAUUCCCUUGUGGGAGAUUUGGGAUAACAGACUUCAAAAUUUUGGCUCUGUUCAAAAUUCCCUGACUCAUUGGGUGGCUUGAAAAAAUGAUUUAAAUCCACUAUCCUGCAAGAUAGAAUAAUGAUAAUUUAUAACACUGUACUUGGCACUUGGGUGUAAUUAUAUUAAUGGCUAGUGAGUAUGUAUGAUUACUAUGUGUCAAAUCAUAUGCCAAGCACUUUACAAGCUGUAACUCUGCAUCCUCUGGGAAGCAUGUACCAUUCUUGCUCUUAUUUCACAUGUAAGAAAAUUGUAGGGCCGGGCGCAGUGGCUCACGUCAGUAAUUAAUUCCAGCACUUUGGGAGGCCAAGGCAGGCGGCGGAUCACAUGAGGUCAGGAGUUCAAGACCAUCCUCGCCAACAUGGUGAAACCCCAUCUCUACUAAAAAUAUAAAAAUUAGCUGGGCGUGGGGUGUGCACCUGUAAUCCCAGCUUCUAGGGAGGCUGAGACAGGAGAAUUGUUUGAACCCGGAAGGAGGAGGUUGCAGUGAGCCAAGAUUGUGCCACUGCACUCCAACCUAAGCGACAGAGUGAGACUCCAUCUCAAAAACAAAAACAAAAAGAAAA